GAGUGUGGUAUGGUGGUAUAUUGAAGUUUUUAAGAGAACUAUUGGUCGAUGUUGGCAGACGUUGACUGACGUUGAACAGAAGGCUGUACAUUACGUGCAACCAGUACACCGUAACGUUUAAAAUUGCCACGGGAUUAAACUCAAAGAAAUCGUCGAUGGUAUCAGCAUUUCUGAUGAGACUACACGCGAUUGAAUUAUCUUUCCUGGUGGUUAAUGUGGAAAUUAGUUUAUCGUGUGUCUGGUGGACGGAAUGCUGAAUGUAAUGAGAUGUUUCGUAAUAACAUGUUAUUAAAGCAGUGAGUGUUGUUAAUGAACAUAGGAAAGUGUGACUGAACUGAAAAUUUCAACUGUUUUAUUGGGGAAUCAGGAAAAUUUUUAUAAUAG
Molecule: unclassified non-coding RNA, 384 nt
Filed under: Bombus terrestris (buff-tailed bumblebee)
Lineage: Eukaryota; Metazoa; Arthropoda; Insecta; Hymenoptera; Apidae
Description: misc RNA ENSBTSG00005021914.1
Source: RNAcentral